Molecule: ribosomal RNA, 125 nt
Filed under: uncultured bacterium
Lineage: Bacteria
Description: partial 16S rRNA
Rfam family: Bacterial small subunit ribosomal RNA
Source: RNAcentral
CCUACGGGAGGCAGCAGUGGGGAAUCUUCCGCAAUGGACGAAAGUCUGACGGAGCAACGCCGCGUGAGUGAAGAAGGUUUUCGGAUCGUAAAACUCUGUUUUCAGGGACGAAUGUGUGGAUUGUA